RNAcentral lists this ribosomal RNA (305 nucleotides) under uncultured bacterium. Its description in RNAcentral is "bacterial SSU rRNA". It matches the Rfam family "Bacterial small subunit ribosomal RNA", at positions 336 to 637 of the family's 1533-position model. The record is from RNAcentral.
UUCCUACGGGAGGCAGCAGUGAGGAAUAUUGGUCAAUGGGCGGAAGCCUGAACCAGCCAAGUCGCGUGAGGGAAUAAGGCCCUACGGGUCGUAAACCUCUUUUGCCGGGGAGCAAGGGCGGGGACGUGUCCCGGCCCGGAGAGUACCCGGAGAAAAAGCAUCGGCUAACUCCGUGCCAGCAGCCGCGGUAAUACGGAGGAUGCGAGCGUUAUCCGGAUUUAUUGGGUGUAAAGGGAGCGUAGACGGCAUAGCAAGUCUGAAGUGAAAGCCCGUGGCUCAACCGCGGAACUGCUUUGGAAACUGUU